RNAcentral lists this ribosomal RNA (387 nucleotides) under uncultured Syntrophus sp. Its description in RNAcentral is "bacterial SSU rRNA". It matches the Rfam family "Bacterial small subunit ribosomal RNA", at positions 997 to 1382 of the family's 1533-position model. Lineage: Bacteria; Pseudomonadati; Thermodesulfobacteriota; Syntrophia; Syntrophales; Syntrophaceae. The record is from RNAcentral.
AUCUUUUAAUCGAGAUUUUGCCUUCGGGUACAAUUGAGACAGGUGGUGCAUGGUUGUCGUCAGCUCGUGUCGUGAGAUGUUGGGUUAAGUCCCGCAACGAGCGCAACCCUUGUGUUUAGUUGCAAACAGGUAAUGCUGUGCACUCUAGACAGGACUGCCGUGGACAACACGGAGGAAGGUGGGAUGACGUCAAGUCCUCAUGGCCUUUAUGUCCAGGGCUACACACGUGCUACAAUGGGUGGUACAAAGAGCCGCGAACUCGCGAGAGCAAGCAAAUCUCAAAAAACCAUCCUCAGUUCGGAUUGGAGUCUGCAACUCGACUCCAUGAAGCUGGAAUCGCUAGUAAUCGCGGAUCAGCAUGCCGCGGUGAAUACGUUCCCGGGCCUU